Molecule: ribosomal RNA, 467 nt
Filed under: uncultured bacterium
Lineage: Bacteria
Description: partial 16S ribosomal RNA
Rfam family: Bacterial small subunit ribosomal RNA
Source: RNAcentral
GACGAACGCUGGCGGCGUGCUUAACACAUGCAAGUCGAACGGAAAGGCCCUGCUUUUGUGGGGUGCUCGAGUGGCGAACGGGUGAGUAACACGUGAGUAACCUGCCCUUGACUUUGGGAUAACUUCAGGAAACUGGGGCUAAUACCGGAUAGGAGCUCCUGCUGCAUGGUGGGGGUUGGAAAGUUUCGGCGGUUGGGGAUGGACUCGCGGCUUAUCAGCUUGUUGGUGGGGUAGUGGCUUACCAAGGCUUUGACGGGUAGCCGGCCUGAGAGGGUGACCGGCCACAUUGGGACUGAGAUACGGCCCAGACUCCUACGGGGGGCAGCAGUGGGGAAUAUUGCAAAAUGGGCGGAAGCCUGAUGCAGCAACGCCGCGGGCGGGAUGCGGGCCUUCGGGUUGUAAACCGCUUUCGCCUGUGACGAAGCGUGAGUGGCGGUAAUGGGUAAAGAAGCACCGGCUAACUACGU